Molecule: ribosomal RNA, 234 nt
Filed under: uncultured bacterium
Lineage: Bacteria
Description: partial 16S ribosomal RNA
Rfam family: Bacterial small subunit ribosomal RNA
Source: RNAcentral
UGAGUAACCUGCCCUUAGCUCUGGGAUAACCCCCGGGGAAACCGGGGCUAAUACCGGAUACGAGUCCGAGCGGCAUCACGCGGACUGGAAAGUUUUUCGGCUAAGGAUGGGCUCGCGGCCUAUCAGCUUGUUGGUGGGGUAAUGGCCUACCAAGGCGACGACGGGUAGCCGGCCUGAGAGGGCGACCGGCCACACUGGGACUGAGACACGGCCCAGACCUCCGUACGGGAGGCA